UGGGGAAUUUUGGACAAUGGGCGAAAGCCUGAUCCAGCAAUGCCGCGUGUGUGAAGAAGGCCUUCGGGUUGUAAAGCACUUUUGUCCGGAAAGAAAUGGCUCUGGUUAAUACCUGGGGUCGAUGACGGUACCGGAAGAAUAAGGACCGGCUAACUACGUGCCAGCAGCCGCGGUAAUACGUAGGGUCCAAGCGUUAAUCGGAAUUACUGGGCGUAAAGCGUGCGCAGGCGGUUGUGCAAGACCGAUGUGAAAUCCCCGAGCUUAACUUGGGAAUUGCAUUGGUGACUGCACGGCUAGAGUGUGUCAGAGGGGGGUAGAAUUCCACGUGUAGCAGUGAAAUGCGUAGAGAUGUGGAGGAAUACCGAUGGCGAAGGCAGCCCCCUGGGAUAACACUGACGCUCAUGCACGAAAGCGUGGGGGCAAACAGGAUUAGAUACCCUGGUAGUCCACGCCCUAAACGAUGUCAACUAGUUGUUGGGGGAUUCAUUUCCUUAGUAACGUAGCUAACGCGUGAAGUUGACCGCCUGGGGAGUACGGUCGCAAGAUUAAAACUUAAAUGAAUUGACGGGGUCAUAGCUGUUUCCU
RNAcentral lists this ribosomal RNA (585 nucleotides) under uncultured bacterium. RNAcentral's name for it is "partial 16S ribosomal RNA". It matches the Rfam family "Bacterial small subunit ribosomal RNA", at positions 355 to 1375 of the family's 1533-position model. The record is from RNAcentral.